Molecule: ribosomal RNA, 543 nt
Filed under: uncultured archaeon
Lineage: Archaea
Description: bacterial SSU rRNA
Rfam family: Archaeal small subunit ribosomal RNA
Source: RNAcentral
AGCACGCCGCGGUAACCACCGGCGGCCCGAGUGGUGAUCGUGAUUAUUGGGUCUAAAGGGUCCGUAGCCGGUUUGAUCAGUCCGUCCGGGAAAUCUGAUAGCUCAACUAUUAGGCGUUUCGGGGGAUACUGCCAGACUUGGAACCGGGAGAGGUAAGAGGUACUACGAGGGGUAGGAGUGAAAUCUUGUAAUCCCUGUGGGACCACCUGUGGCGAAGGCGUCUUACCAGAACGGGUUCGACGGUGAGGGACGAAAGCUGGGGGCACGAACCGGAUUAGAUACCCGGGUAGUCCCAGCCGUAAACGAUGCUCGCUAGGUGUCAGGCAUGGCGCGACCGUGUCUGGUGCCGCAGGGAAGCCGUGAAGCGAGCCACCUGGGAAGUACGGCCGCAAGGCUGAAACUUAAAGGAAUUGGCGGGGGAGCACAACAACGGGUGGAGCCUGCGGUUUAAUUGGACUCAACGCCGGACAACUCACCGGGGGCGACAGCAAUACGUAGGCCAAGCUGAAGACUUUGCCUGAAUCGCUGAGGAGUGGUGCAUGG